This is a long non-coding RNA of Esox lucius (northern pike), 1887 nucleotides long. The record is from Ensembl. Lineage: Eukaryota; Metazoa; Chordata; Actinopteri; Esociformes; Esocidae.
ACUUUUCAAGCAGUGGCUUGUGCAGUGGUUGGGUUAGACUUGAACUGAAGUCUGCUGUGUAAAAUGGUCCUAAUCCCACUCACACCUGAUUAGUUGCCAGCCUAUAAAUAUGUCCUUGUCAGGGUCACAUGCUUGUUAGGACAGUGUCUCAGACGUCCUUUGCAGCAAGGGAAAGGGCACAGCCGUAGCGAUAUGUUUGGUCCUGUUUCGUGGAUGUGGUGAGGUAUAGCUUGAAGCCUUGAGUGACAUUUUAUGGACAUUGGGCUUUGCUGACAGCAUAACCCAACGUAAUCCUUUUUGCAGCUGGUUUCUUAUUACAGCACCAUUUUGACUGUUUUGUACUGAAUGCAGCCUUCAUAAUAGUCCAGUGUGGUGAUUACUGUUAAACUUGGAUUCCACAGCACUGCAGUGUUCAUUUCCAUUUAGAUUAAAUAUAAAACUACAAAAUAAAAAGCAGUAUAAUGAUAAUUACUGAUAACUACAUGACUCAGUAAGACCAAUGUUUAAUCAAUGUUAUGUUUCACCUUUUAACAGAAGUGGUCAAUUGUUUGUAGGUUAAUGGGGACAUGGUUAUGUGUAGCCUCCUCAACUCUGGAGUAUAACAAACCAUGUAGGUUAAUGGGGACAUGGUUAUGUGUAGCCUCCUCAACUCUGGAGUAUAACAAACCAUAUGGGUUAAUGGGGACAUGGUUAUGUGUAGCCUCCUCAACUCUGGAGUAUAACAAACCAUGUAGGUUAAUGGGGACAUGGUUAUGUGUAGCCUCCUCAACUCUGGAGUAUAACAAACCAUAUGGGUUAAUGGGGACAUGGUUAUGUGUGGCCUCCUCAACUCUGGAGUAUAACAAACCAUGUAGGUUAAUGGGGACAUGGUUAUGUGUAGCCUCCUCAGCUCUGGAGUAUAACAAACUAUGGUGUAUUUACACAGAGAGCCCAAUUCUGAUGUUUUCUAAUGUGAAAUGAUCUGAUGUGAUUGGUAAAAAAAAAUCAGAAUGGGGCAGUCUGUUUAAAGCAGCCAGAUAUCUUCAGGUCUUGAUCAAGACCAUAAAUUGAUUUUUUAAAUGGAAGCAACUGGUGUAAGUAAUAUAGUGGAAAACCCCAUCUACCUACACCAGUCCAACCAUUCUGUAUUAUAGGGAAGAGUGCAGGUUUGACACUGAAAACUGUCUCAUAAAUCUCCCACUUCUAACCCACUCCUCUUUGGGGCACACUUUGUUAAACACUUGAAUCCCUGAACUCCAAACUGGUUCAGACGAUGACUGGUUAUCAAUGCUAAGGUGAUGACUUUACUGAUAUGGAAUUUACAACAGCAACAAUUGGUUACAGCAAUGACGUGUUAGGGUAAUGACUGGCAGUGAAUUUGGUGAUGACUACUGGCAGCCAUGACUCAUGGCAUUGACUGGUUAGUGAGUAGGUGAAUAGAAGAGUCCCUCAGGUCUUCGAAGCUCUAGUGUCCAUAAUGGACAGGGCUUUAUUGAGCCUUACUGCUGUGAACUUGGCAUGAUGCAGCAUAGCAUAGGGUUAUCCAGUUGUAAUCCUACCCCCUGUCUGGGCACCCAGCUGGUGAUGUUGCCAUUGUGCCACACUGACGUGUGUUUUCAGGUCUUGUCAGCAAAAUGAAACCGGCCAGGGUAAUUUUCCAGUUACAGUUACCAUAUGCAGUGCCUAAACCAACUCUGUCCAUAAGUGGUUUUAAAUGUUUCAUUCAGACCACACUGCAAAAAUGUUGCCAAUGGAACAAGACAAUUUAACUAUAUUUGAGGAGAUAUUUGCUUGAAAUAAAUAAAUAAUAAUCUGACAAUGAAACAAGAUAAAUUACAUGAUAUUCAAGGCAUAUUUUCUAAAAACAAGCAGUAUGAUCUAGCUUGUUAAGAUUUAGCUUGUUUACAU